This 400-nucleotide ribosomal RNA is filed under the name Marinobacter zhejiangensis. RNAcentral's name for it is "bacterial SSU rRNA". It matches the Rfam family "Bacterial small subunit ribosomal RNA", at positions 304 to 696 of the family's 1533-position model. Lineage: Bacteria; Pseudomonadati; Pseudomonadota; Gammaproteobacteria; Pseudomonadales; Marinobacteraceae. The record is from RNAcentral.
UCAGCCACAUCGGGACUGAGACACGGCCCGAACUCCUACGGGAGGCAGCAGUGGGGAAUAUUGGACAAUGGGGGAAACCCUGAUCCAGCCAUGCCGCGUGUGUGAAGAAGGCUUUCGGGUUGUAAAGCACUUUCAGUGAGGAGGAAGGCCUUGUCGCUAAUAUCGGCAAGGAUUGACGUUACUCACAGAAGAAGCACCGGCUAACUCCGUGCCAGCAGCCGCGGUAAUACGGAGGGUGCAAGCGUUAAUCGGAAUUACUGGGCGUAAAGCGCGCGUAGGUGGUUUGUUAAGCGAGAUGUGAAAGCCCCGGGCUUAACCUGGGAACGGCAUUUCGAACUGGCAGACUAGAGUGUGGUAGAGGGUAGUGGAAUUUCCUGUGUAGCGGUGAAAUGCGUAGAUA